Molecule: transfer RNA, 90 nt
Filed under: Caldisericota bacterium
Lineage: Bacteria; Pseudomonadati; Caldisericota
Also listed under: 2 other names
Description: Caldiserica bacterium tRNA-Ser
Rfam family: tRNA
About the family: Transfer RNA (tRNA) molecules are approximately 80 nucleotides in length. Their secondary structure includes four short double-helical elements and three loops (D, anti-codon, and T loops). Further hydrogen bonds mediate the characteristic L-shaped molecular structure. tRNAs have two regions of fundamental functional importance: the anti-codon, which is responsible for specific mRNA codon recognition, and the 3' end, to which the tRNAs corresponding amino acid is attached (by aminoacyl-tRNA synthetases). tRNAs cope with the degeneracy of the genetic code in two manners: having more than one tRNA (with a specific anti-codon) for a particular amino acid; and 'wobble' base-pairing, i.e. permitting non-standard base-pairing at the 3rd anti-codon position.
Source: RNAcentral
GGAGAGGUGUCCGAGCUGGCUUAAGGAGCACGAUUGGAAAUCGUGUGGGGGACGAAAGUCUCCUCGCGGGUUCGAAUCCCGCCCUCUCCG